RNAcentral lists this non-coding RNA (93 nucleotides) under Mucilaginibacter lappiensis. Its description in RNAcentral is "TPP sequence". It matches the Rfam family "TPP riboswitch aptamer (THI element)". Rfam says of the family: Vitamin B(1) in its active form thiamin pyrophosphate (TPP) is an essential coenzyme that is synthesised by coupling of pyrimidine and thiazole moieties in bacteria. The previously detected thiamin-regulatory element, thi box was extended, resulting in a new, highly conserved RNA secondary structure, the THI element, which is widely distributed in eubacteria and also occurs in some archaea. Lineage: Bacteria; Pseudomonadati; Bacteroidota; Sphingobacteriia; Sphingobacteriales; Sphingobacteriaceae. The record is from RNAcentral.
CCAUGGCUUUAGGGGUAUUCUGUGAAGAAUUGAGAUAAACCCUUUGAACCUGAUCCGGCUGAUACCGGUGUAGGGAAAAGUUGGAAUUUAUUU